Molecule: ribosomal RNA, 251 nt
Filed under: uncultured prokaryote
Description: partial 16S rRNA
Rfam family: Bacterial small subunit ribosomal RNA
Source: RNAcentral
ACGGAGGGUGCAAGCGUUAAUCGGAAUUACUGGGCGUAAAGCGCACGCAGGCGGUUUGCUAAGUCAGAUGUGAAAUCCCCGGGCUCAACCUGGGAACUGCAUCUGAUACUGGCAAGCUUGAGUCUCGUAGAGGGAGGUAGAAUUCGAGAUGUAGCGGUGAAAUGCUUAGAGAUGUGGCAGAACACCAGUGGCGAAGGCAGCUUCCCGGACGAUGACUGACGCUGAGGUGCGAAAGCGUGGGGAGCAAACAG